GUUCUCCAUUCAGGUCCAAAGCAUCUGCAAUUCGAAUGAUUCAAGCAUGAGAUUCAUUCAGUUUCCGUUUCAAAAGGGAUCUUAUACAAAUACACCGAAUGAUUUUCUAAACCCUAGAUAUCCCUUUGUCUUCAUACUGAUUUAAGCGUCUGCAAUACAAACGAUUCAAGGUACUAAUCAACGUUUUUACGUUUUUAUCAGACUAUGGAAUUGAUUGAGACUUUCAUUCAUGUUUGUAUUAUCUAUGAUCCCUCCAAGUCCAACAAAGGUUUUCAGUGCCAGUUUGUUUUUUUUUUUCUUUUUUGUUUUUUUAUUUGUUUUGGCAGAAUUGAAUAGAGAUUUAGAGGACACUAGCACAUAAAAUUGGAUUUAGUAUGUAUGUAGGUUUUAAAUAUAUCCACCACAUGUUAGAAACCAAUUAAAUAAUUAAUUUUAUUUAUUUAUUGUGAUAUAUAAAUUGUAUUUUGCAGUUAUACAUUAAGAAGUAUGACACUUCUGAAUUAUGUAAGUUAAAGAUUAUAAAAAGGUGUUUUUUUAAUCUUUAUUGAUUUAACUGCUCAUGGUAUUUGUGAUUGAAGUUUUUGAGGAUUCCUUUUACCUUCCCCUUGAUUAUUAUGAUAAGAGGAAGGUAAGUUUAUAACUAUGUAUGCAACAUUUGUGAACUUACAGGUGGGCCAUUGACUCGGGUACAUUUAUAUGUGUUUGUUAUACGUAUAUAUGUAUGUGUGUGUAAACUGUAAUAUAUACGAUAUGAUUUAUUAUUUUUGAGGUUGAAAUAAUUUGUAUAGUGAAAAGAUGUAGAAAAAGGUGAGUUCUUGAUGCGAAGCCGCUUGACGCGUUGGUAUUUUUUUCAAGGAAAUGCAAUCUGUUCUUGAGCUCUUGAAGAUCUGUAAGUUGCCUGAGACAAGGAACGGGGAAGGCUGAGUUGGUAGGGCGUAGAUCAAAUCAAGUGGGUCAAAAAAUGUAAACAGUUAAUGCUAUUAAAAACAGAUUUAUCAAGAUAUACAACAGUUAGGUAGGGGCAUUUACCCAUCUUAACACAAGCGAACAAGCCAGGAAUAAGAAGCAAGCUGAAAAGAAUGCAGCCAUGUAGGUCAUCUUAUUUUCAAACACAAAGUUCAUCUUUACAAAAAAGGAUACUUGAGAAGCAAGAACAUAUUACUGUUGACGCGUUUUACAACAGUUUAGGUUAAAGGGAAAUAUGUCCACCAUGUGAUUGUCUCACGGUUUAGAUUGAGGAAUUGAGGAGCAAGAACAUGGAUUUGUGCGGAGAUGCAUCAAUCAUGGGUGCUAACCAACAAGAUGGAAAAAAAUGGCUCCCUUUUGAUUCAACUGACAAGCUGUUCAAGGGACCCGGAUCUUAACUUUGAAGUUAUUUAGGUUUAUCUUCCUUUUGUAUGUCACUUUGUUUCGUAUUUAUUUUAUUUAUACACGAAUGAUCGAUUUGUUUGUAUUAUUUUAUUUAUAUACUAAUAUUUAAU
Molecule: long non-coding RNA, 1481 nt
Filed under: Helianthus annuus (common sunflower)
Lineage: Eukaryota; Viridiplantae; Streptophyta; Magnoliopsida; Asterales; Asteraceae
Description: hypothetical non coding rna
Source: RNAcentral